UUAAAUUGAAGAGUUUGAUCAUGGCUCAGAUUGAACGCUGGCGGCAGGCCUAACACAUGCAAGUCGAACGGUAACAGGAAGCAGCUUGCUGCUU
RNAcentral lists this ribosomal RNA (94 nucleotides) under Citrobacter koseri. Its description in RNAcentral is "partial 16S ribosomal RNA". It matches the Rfam family "Bacterial small subunit ribosomal RNA", at positions 1 to 88 of the family's 1533-position model. The record is from RNAcentral. Lineage: Bacteria; Pseudomonadati; Pseudomonadota; Gammaproteobacteria; Enterobacterales; Enterobacteriaceae. RNAcentral also lists the same sequence under 397 other names.